UACGUAGGUCCCGAGCGUUGUCCGGAUUUAUUGGGCGUAAAGCGAGCGCAGGUUGUUUAAUAAGUCUGAUGUAAAAGGCAGUGGCUCAACCAUUGUGUGCAUUGGAAACUGUUAGACUUGAGUGCAGUAGAGGAGAGUGGAAUUCCAUGUGUAGCGGUGAAAUGCGUAGAUAUAUGGAGGAACACCGGUGGCGAAAGCGGCUCUCUGGACUGUCACUGACACUGAGGCUCGAAAGCGUGGGUAGCAAACAGG
Molecule: ribosomal RNA, 252 nt
Filed under: uncultured microorganism
Description: partial 16S ribosomal RNA
Rfam family: Bacterial small subunit ribosomal RNA
Source: RNAcentral